This 398-nucleotide ribosomal RNA is filed under the name Klebsiella sp. SS28. RNAcentral's name for it is "Raoultella sp. SS28 partial 16S ribosomal RNA". It matches the Rfam family "Bacterial small subunit ribosomal RNA", at positions 1101 to 1495 of the family's 1533-position model. The record is from RNAcentral. Lineage: Bacteria; Pseudomonadati; Pseudomonadota; Gammaproteobacteria; Enterobacterales; Enterobacteriaceae.
ACCCUUUUCCUAAUUCCCACCGGUUCGGCCGGGAACUCAAAGGAGACUGCCAGAGAUAAACAGGAGGAAGGGGGGGAUGACGUCAAGUCAUCAUGGCCCUUACGAGUAGGGCUACACACGUGCUACAAUGGCAUAUACAAAGAGAAGCGACCUCGCGAGACCAACCGGACCUCAUAAAGUAUGUCGUAGUCCGGAUCGGAGUCUGCAACUCGACUCCGUGAAGUCGGAAUCGCUAGUAAUCGUGGAUCAGAAUGCCACGGCGAAUACGUUCCCGGUCUUUAGCGGGCCGCCCGUCACACCAUGGGAGGGGGGGCCCCUCCUUUUGCUAGCUUACCUUCGGGAGGGCGCUUACCCCACUUUGUGAUUCAUGAACUGGGGGGAAGUUCGUUAACCACCAG